UGGGGAAUAUUGCACAAUGGGCGCAAGCCUGAUGCAGCCAUGCCGCGUGUGUGAAGAAGGCCUUCGGGUUGUAAAGCACUUUCAGCGAGGAGGAAGGCAGUCGUGUUAAUAGCACGAUUGAUUGACGUUACUCGCAGAAGAAGCACCGGCUAACUCCGUGCCAGCAGCCGCGGUAAUACGGAGGGUGCAAGCGUUAAUCGGAAUUACUGGGCGUAAAGCGCACGCAGGCGGGUUGUUAGGUCCGGUGGG
This 249-nucleotide ribosomal RNA is filed under the name uncultured organism. Its description in RNAcentral is "partial 16S ribosomal RNA". It matches the Rfam family "Bacterial small subunit ribosomal RNA", at positions 355 to 596 of the family's 1533-position model. RNAcentral also lists the same sequence under 1 other name. The record is from RNAcentral.